RNAcentral lists this ribosomal RNA (301 nucleotides) under uncultured bacterium. RNAcentral describes it as "partial 16S ribosomal RNA". It matches the Rfam family "Bacterial small subunit ribosomal RNA", at positions 509 to 807 of the family's 1533-position model. The record is from RNAcentral.
CAGCCGCCGCGGUAACACAGAGGGUGCAAGCGUUAAUCGGAAUUACUGGGCGUAAAGCGCGCGUAGGUGGUUUGUUAAGUUGGAUGUGAAAGCCCCGGGCUCAACCUGGGAACUGCAUCCAAAACUGGCAAGCUAGAGUACGGUAGAGGGUGGUGGAAUUUCCUGUGUAGCGGUGAAAUGCGUAGAUAUAGGAAGGAACACCAGUGGCGAAGGCGACCACCUGGACUGAUACUGACACUGAGGUGCGAAAGCGUGGGGAGCAAACAGGAUUAGAUACCCCCGUAGUCCCUGUCUCUUAUAC